This 89-nucleotide microRNA precursor is filed under the name Nothoprocta perdicaria. RNAcentral's name for it is "miRNA (ENSNPEG00000013188.1)". The stretch from base 11 to 85 matches the Rfam family "mir-1677 microRNA precursor family". Lineage: Eukaryota; Metazoa; Chordata; Aves; Tinamiformes; Tinamidae. The record is from RNAcentral.
CUGUGUUGCUUAGGGUCUGAUCCUGCACCGCUGAAGUCAAUGGAAGUUUUGUCAUUGACUUCAAUAGGAGCAGGAUUUGAACCUUAUGC